CCUACGGGUGGCAGCAGUAGGGAAUCUUUCACAAUGGGCGAAAGCCUGAUGGAGCAACGCCGCGUGCAGGAUGAAGGCCUUCGGGUUGUAAACUGCUUUUAUAAGCGAGAAAUAUGAUGGUAACUUAUGAAUAAGGAUCGGCUAACUACGUGCCAGCAGCCGCGGUCAUACGUAGGACCCGAGCAUUAUCCGGAGUGACUGGGUGUAAAGAGUUGCGUAGGUGGCAUAAUAAGUAGCUAGUGAAAUCUGGUGGCUUAAACAUUCAGACUAUUAGCUAAACUGUUAAGCUCGAGACCGUUAGGGGUAACUGGAAUUUCUAGUGUAGGAGUGAAAUCCGUAGAUAUUAGAAGGAACACCAAUAGCGUAGGCAGGUUGCUGGGACGGUUCUGACACUAAGGCACGAAAGCGUAGGGAGCAAACGGGAUUAGAUACCCGAGUAGUC
Molecule: ribosomal RNA, 442 nt
Filed under: uncultured bacterium
Lineage: Bacteria
Description: partial 16S ribosomal RNA
Rfam family: Bacterial small subunit ribosomal RNA
Source: RNAcentral